UACGAAGGGGGCUAGCGUUGCUCGGAAUCACUGGGCGUAAAGGGUGCGUAGGCGGGUCUUUAAGUCAGGGGUGAAAUCCUGGAGCUCAACUCCAGAACUGCCUUUGAUACUGAAGAUCUUGAGUCCGGGAGAGGUGAGUGGAACUGCGAGUGUAGAGGUGAAAUUCGUAGAUAUUCGCAAGAACACCAGUGGCGAAGGCGGCUCACUGGCCCGGUACUGACGCUGAGACGCGAAAGCGUGGGGAGCGAACAGG
This 253-nucleotide ribosomal RNA is filed under the name uncultured bacterium. RNAcentral describes it as "partial 16S ribosomal RNA". It matches the Rfam family "Bacterial small subunit ribosomal RNA", at positions 524 to 776 of the family's 1533-position model. The record is from RNAcentral.